UUAUAACUGUACUAAGGUAGCAUAAUAAUUUGCUCUAUAAAUUGGGGCUAGAAUGAAUGGUUUGACGAAAAUUUGACUGUCUCUAUUUUAUUUAUUAGAAAUUAAUUUUUGUAGUGAGAAAGCUUAAAUUGUUUAAAGGGACGAAAAGACCCUAUUGAGCUUAUAUUAUUUUAUAAAUUAUAUGAUUGUUGUUUAUUUAGAAUAAUUUUGAUUGGGGUGAUCAAGGAAUAAGAUUGUUUAAAUUAACUUCCUUAAUUAAUUUGUUUUGUGGAAAAAUAAACCAAAUUUUUUGCUUAGAAGAUAAGUUACCAUAGGGAUAACAGCGUAAUUUUUUUUGAGAGUUCAUAUUGAAAAAAGAGAUUGCGACCUCGAUGUUGGAUUAA
RNAcentral lists this ribosomal RNA (383 nucleotides) under Octopus insularis. RNAcentral's name for it is "partial 16S ribosomal RNA". It matches the Rfam family "Bacterial large subunit ribosomal RNA", at positions 1940 to 2540 of the family's 2925-position model. The record is from RNAcentral. Lineage: Eukaryota; Metazoa; Mollusca; Cephalopoda; Octopoda; Octopodidae.